GGAAAAACCAGAGGAAAAACCUGAAGAAAAACAAGAGCAAAAACCAGAGCAAAAACUGGAGUUAGCCACUAGCAACUGCCAGGAACAACCUAUUGAAUCCGGCAAUACAAUCUGCCAAGAACCACCAGAAAACCCUGUCAACCAGGAACAACCCAUAGAAUCUGGCAAUACCAUCUGCCAAGU
This is a long non-coding RNA of Xenopus laevis (African clawed frog), 183 nucleotides long. RefSeq lists it as uncharacterized. NCBI's taxonomy places the organism in Eukaryota, Metazoa, Chordata, Amphibia, Anura, Pipidae. The transcript has 3 exons. The record is from RefSeq and is a predicted model, not a curated record.